This 448-nucleotide ribosomal RNA is filed under the name uncultured bacterium. Its description in RNAcentral is "bacterial SSU rRNA". It matches the Rfam family "Bacterial small subunit ribosomal RNA", at positions 330 to 793 of the family's 1533-position model. The record is from RNAcentral.
GCCAGACUCCUACGGGAGGCAGCAGUGGGGAAUAUUGCACAAUGGGGGAAACCCUGAUGCAGCAACGCCGCGUGAGUGAAGAAGUCAUUCGUGAUGUAAAGCUCUAUCAGCAGGGAAGAAAAUGACGGUACCUGACUAAGAAGCCCCGGCUAACUACGUGCCAGCAGCCGCGGUAAUACGUAGGGGGCAAGCGUUAUCCGGAUUUACUGGGUGUAAAGGGUGCGUAGACGGGAAAUUAAGUUAGUUGUGAAAUCCCUCGGCUUAACUGAGGAACUGCAACUAAAACUGAUUUUCUUGAGUACUGGAGAGGAAAGUGGAAUUCCUAGUGUAGCGGUGAAAUGCGUAGAUAUUAGGAGGAACACCAGUGGCGAAGGCGACUUUCUGGACAGUAACUGACGUUGAGGCACGAAAGUGUGGGGAGCAAACAGGAUUAGAUACCCCAGUAUAA